GAAACCGUGUACGUACAAGCAGUGGGAGCACGCUUAGGCGUGUGACUGCGUACCUUUUGUAUAAUGGGUCAGCGACUUAUAUUCUGUAGCAAGGUUAACCGAAUAGGGGAGCCGAAGGGAAACCGAGUCUUAACUGGGCGUUAAGUUGCAGGGUAUAGACCCGAAACCCGGUGAUCUAGCCAUGGGCAGGUUGAAGGUUGGGUAACACUAACUGGAGGACCGAACCGACUAAUGUUGAAAAAUUAGCGGAUGACUUGUGGCUGGGGGUGAAAGGCCAAUCAAACCGGGAGAUAGCUGGUUCUCCCCGAAAGCUAUUUAGGUAGCGCCUCGUGAAUUCAUCUCCGGGGGUAGAGCACUGUUUCGGCAAGGGGGUCAUCCCGACUUACCAACCCGAUGCAAACUGCGAAUACCGGAGAAUGUUAUCACGGGAGACACACGGCGGGUGCUAACGUCCGUCGUGAAGAGGGAAACAACCCAGACCGCCAGCUAAGGUCCCAAAGUCAUGGUUAAGUGGGAAACGAUGUGGGAAGGCCCAGACAGCCAGGAUGUUGGCUUAGAAGCAGCCAUCAUUUAAAGAAAGCGUAAUAGCUCACUGGUCGAGUCGGCCUGCGCGGAAGAUGUAACGGGGCUAAACCAUGCACCGAAGCUGCGGCAGCGACGCUUAUGCGUUGUUGGGUAGGGGAGCGUUCUGUAAGCCUGUGAAGGUGUGCUGUGAGGUAUGCUGGAGGUAUCAGAAGUGCGAAUGCUGACAUAAGUAACGAUAAAGCGGGUGAAAAGCCCGCUCGCCGGAAGACCAAGGGUUCCUGUCCAACGUUAAUCGGGGCAGGGUGAGUCGACCCCUAAGGCGAGGCCGAAAGGCGUAGUCGAUGGGAAACAGGUUAAUAUUCCUGUACUUGGUGUUACUGCGAAGGGGGGACGGAGAAGGCUAUGUUGGCCGGGCGACGGUUGUCCCGGUUUAAGCGUGUAGGCUGGUUUUCCAGGCAAAUCCGGAAAAUCAAGGCCGAGGCGUGAUGACGAGGCACUACGGUGCUGAAGCAACAAAUGCCCUGCUUCCAGGAAAAGCCUCUAAGCAUCAGGUAACAUCAAAUCGUACCCCAAACCGACACAGGUGGUCAGGUAGAGAAUACCAAGGCGCUUGAGAGAACUCGGGUGAAGGAACUAGGCAAAAUGGUGCCGUAACUUCGGGAGAAGGCACGCUGAUACGUAGGUGAAGCGACUUGCUCGUGGAGCUGAAAUCAGUCGAAGAUACCAGCUGGCUGCAACUGUUUAUUAAAAACACAGCACUGUGCAAACACGAAAGUGGACGUAUACGGUGUGACGCCUGCCCGGUGCCGGAAGGUUAAUUGAUGGGGUUAGCGCAAGCGAAGCUCUUGAUCGAAGCCCCGGUAAACGGCGGCCGUAACUAUAACGGUCCUAAGGUAGCGAAAUUCCUUGUCGGGUAAGUUCCGACCUGCACGAAUGGCGUAAUGAUGGCCAGGCUGUCUCCACCCGAGACUCAGUGAAAUUGAACUCGCUGUGAAGAUGCAGUGUACCCGCGGCAAGACGGAAAGACCCCGUGAACCUUUACUAUAGCUUGACACUGAACAUUGAGCCUUGAUGUGUAGGAUAGGUGGGAGGCUUUGAAGUGUGGACGCCAGUCUGCAUGGAGCCGACCUUGAAAUACCACCCUUUAAUGUUUGAUGUUCUAACGUGGACCCGUGAUCCGGGUUGCGGACAGUGUCUGGUGGGUAGUUUGACUGGGGCGGUCUCCUCCUAAAGAGUAACGGAGGAGCACGAAGGUUGGCUAAUCCUGGUCGGACAUCAGGAGGUUAGUGCAAUGGCAUAAGCCAGCUUGACUGCGAGCGUGACGGCGCGAGCAGGUGCGAAAGCAGGUCAUAGUGAUCCGGUGGUUCUGAAUGGAAGGGCCAUCGCUCAACGGAUAAAAGGUACUCCGGGGAUAACAGGCUGAUACCGCCCAAGAGUUCAUAUCGACGGCGGUGUUUGGCACCUCGAUGUCGGCUCAUCACAUCCUGGGGCUGAAGUAGGUCCCAAGGGUAUGGCUGUUCGCCAUUUAAAGUGGUACGCGAGCUGGGUUUAGAACGUCGUGAGACAGUUCGGUCCCUAUCUGCCGUGGGCGCUGGAGAACUGAGGGGGGCUGCUCCUAGUACGAGAGGACCGGAGUGGACGCAUCACUGGUGUUCGGGUUGUCAUGCCAAUGGCACUGCCCGGUAGCUAAAUGCGGAAGAGAUAAGUGCUGAAAGCAUCUAAGCACGAAACUUGCCCCGAGAUGAGUUCUCCCUGACCCUUUAAGGGUCCUGAAGGAACGUUGAAGACGACGACGUUGAUAGGCCGGGUGUGUAAGCGCAGCGAUGCGUUGAGCUAACCGGUACUAAUGAACCGUGAGGCUUAACCUU
RNAcentral lists this ribosomal RNA (2393 nucleotides) under Escherichia coli. Its description in RNAcentral is "partial 23S ribosomal RNA". It matches the Rfam family "Bacterial large subunit ribosomal RNA", at positions 552 to 2925 of the family's 2925-position model. The record is from RNAcentral. RNAcentral also lists the same sequence under 2 other names. Lineage: Bacteria; Pseudomonadati; Pseudomonadota; Gammaproteobacteria; Enterobacterales; Enterobacteriaceae.